UACGUAGGGGGCUAGCGUUAUCCGGAUUUACUGGGCGUAAAGGGUGCGUAGGUGGUCUUUCAAGUCGGUGGUUAAAGGCUACGGCUCAACCGUAGUUAGCCUCCGAAACUGGAAGACUUGAGUGCAGGAGAGGAAAGUGGAAUUCCCAGUGUAGCGGUGAAAUGCGUAGAUAUUGGGAGGAACACCAGUAGCGAAGGCGGCUUUCUGGACUGCAACUGACACUGAGGCACGAAAGCGUGGGUAGCAAACAGG
RNAcentral lists this ribosomal RNA (252 nucleotides) under Peptostreptococcus anaerobius. Its description in RNAcentral is "partial 16S ribosomal RNA". It matches the Rfam family "Bacterial small subunit ribosomal RNA", at positions 524 to 776 of the family's 1533-position model. The record is from RNAcentral. Lineage: Bacteria; Bacillati; Bacillota; Clostridia; Peptostreptococcales; Peptostreptococcaceae.